This 18437-nucleotide long non-coding RNA is filed under the name Cucumis sativus (cucumber). RNAcentral describes it as "long non-coding RNA (CSAT_LNC000826)". The stretch from base 12780 to 12851 matches the Rfam family "tRNA". Lineage: Eukaryota; Viridiplantae; Streptophyta; Magnoliopsida; Cucurbitales; Cucurbitaceae. The record is from RNAcentral.
AACUUUAUCUUUUGGUUUCCUUUUGCUGGUGAGUUUGGGCUUAGCUUCGGCGGCCCGAUCUCUUCUUUCUUACGAUAUUCCUCCUCAUCGAUCUGGAUACGAUAAUUAUGAUCAUCCUGUAGUUAACCCUAAAGUAGGAUACGAACAUGACCGUCGUGAUGGAUACUACCAUGACCGUGACCAUCAUGAUGCACCUUAUGGUGGUGGUGCUGGUGGAGGAUAUGGAGCUGGAGCUGGAGCUGGCUCAUCUCUUGGAGGCUCUGGAUAUGGAAGUGGAGGAGGUGGUGGUUCUGGAUAUGGAGGUGUAGGAAACCACGAGGUUGGUUAUGGUAGUGGUGGAGGGGGUGGAUAUGGAGCUGGAGUUGGCUCUGACCUUGGUGGUAGCGGAUACGGAAGCGGUGGUGGUGGAGGCAGUGGAGGAGGAUACGGUGAUUUAGGAGGACGUGGAAAAGGGUACGGUAGCGGUGGAGGUGGAGGAAGUGGAUAUGGAGGUAGAGGAGACCAUGGAGUUGGUUAUGGAAGUGGUGGAGGUGGAGGAUAUGGAAGUGGAGUAGGUGGUGGUGCAGGAGUGGUAGACCAUGGUGUAGGUUAUGGGAGUGGAGGAGGAGGUGGGGCUGGUAGUGGUUAUGGUGGUUCCAAAGGAUAUGGAGGUGGAAGCGGCGGCGGUGGGGGAGCCGGUUAUGGUGGUGGAGCACAUGGAAGUGGAUAUGGAAGUGGUGGUGGAGCUGGAAGUGGUGAAGAAGGAGGAUAUGAUGGUGGAUAUGCACCGUAAACAAAGAAAAGAAAAGAAAAAGCUCAAAGUUUUAUGGCUAAAAUGAGAAUGCUUACCCUAAUAUCAUCAAUGUGUGUGUGUGUUAGCAAAAAAAAAAAAUAAAAGAAUUUGGGUAAGAAAUGUUAUAUUAAUUAUCUUUGAGCUUUUAAGUAAUUUGAAUGUAAUAUAAUAUAUAUAUAAAAAAAGCUAAUCCAUGUGUUCCAAAGUGAACCAACAUGAAGUAUAUUUUCUCCCUUUGUCAUCAUGAUCAUCUUAAACUUGUGGUUAUUAUGUGGGCUCUCAUUAUUAUUCCAAGAUAGCAACGUCGGGAUAUUCAAAUAUUUUUCAUAUGUAAUGUCUUAAGACUAAAUCACUAUGAUCUAUAUGCUUUAAUUAAGUUCAAAACUAUUUUGGAAGCAUUAUGAUUAAUAUAUUGAUUACUUAAAUACUAUUAUAUGGUUUUCAAGGUAACUUGAUGUUGUUAAUAAAAGAAAUCUUUAAUAUUUAAUCAGUCCUUUCUCUUAAAAUUUAGUAAAAAUAAAUACUAAAAUGGUAUGAUGUUUUAUGGUUGGAUUUGGGGUAUGUGUUUUGGCUUGUCCCUCUAGUUGUGACUUGUUCAAAAUAAGUGUACAAUCAAAUUCACUUGGGUUAUUAAAGACAAUUGAUAAACAAAAAUUGCCAAAACGAUAGAGCAUAACUAUUUAAUCGGUAUAAAACUUGUACAAUCCAUUAAUCAUAAUAUACUUUUUCUAAUUGAUCUCUAAUUGAUCGUACAUACUAGUUAGUGUCGAUAAAAAACUCAAUUUGACGUAUAAAUAUUUGUUUGUUGUAAAUGAACAUCUAAGUAUAUUCUUGAUUAAUUAUUCUUAUACUAAGAGUAACAUUGACCCCUCUAUUCUUUAGUAUUUGGUUAAAAGAAUAAAAAAUUAGUAAGUGAUGAAUCUUAGUGUGCUAUAGGUUGAUCAACCAAUUAAAAUUAGUCGUUUCAAGCAAUACUUUCGAAAAAAUUCAUUAAAUAGGAGUUAUUUAAACUAUCAACCCUGAGUUUUUAUACAUUACAAUAAAUUUAAUCUUUGAUGUCGGUCAAAAACUAAUAUAUAGGAGUACAAUAUAGAUCACCAGAUCGAUAUGGAAGACAAUGUUAUGGAAGAUGUUCAAUGUUAAUCACUUUUAUGUUCGUUUUGGUCUUGGCAUUAUAAAUAAUUUAAAUGGUAGUUUUUGCUCACACUACAAAUGUGUUAGACUAUUAGUCAUCAAAUAGUUUGAAUUCCUUGUAAAAAAAAUUAGUUGAAACAAAAAUAAAUAAUUAUCUUUGCAUUAAAAUAAAAUAAAAUAAAUAAAAUAGAUUUUUUUGUGAAUAUUUUGGUCAGGUGUUCUAUUUUUUAUAAUUUCCCAUAAAAAAUAUGUGUAAUAAGUUAUUUAAAAUACUAAUAGUAUUAAUUAGUUUACUUAAUAAAUCAAUUAUAUCUCUAAAUGAUAUUUUGGUAGAUUUAAAAAUAUUUUGAUUCAUUUUGCUAUAUUUGAAAAAGAAACCAUAAAAUUCUACUUCAUAUUCGCAAUAGAUCAUGGUAAACUUAGAUAGGCAUCUAUUAUUUAUAUAUAUGGUGAUAGAUACUUAUGUAUCUAUAUCCAAGCCCAUCAUCUAAAUAUUUUCAAAUGGUUUUCAAUUGAAAACAAAUUUCUCAAUAAGUAAUUAAAAAUUAGGUUUUUAUUCACUAAUAAUUAUUAUUUAAAUGUGAACAAAUAAAGUUUAGCUCGUAUAUAAUGGGUCAGUAGGUACACUCGGAUAUCUCCACUAGAUGGACACCCCUUAGCACCCUCAUUAUCUCCGUUUCAUUAAUAUAAAAAAUCGAAUUGAAUACACGAGAAGUAAAGAGAACAACCCAAACAAAAAACAAAGAACUAGAGACAAGCCCAAAACAAGUACAAACAAUUAGAAAGCAUGAAGAAAUUAGUGCUUUAAACCCCUAAACCGCAAUGUUACUUAACAAAUAAAAUUGUUAUUUAAAAGUUUGAAGUUAUUAUUGAGUUUUAUUUUAGCAAAUUAAUCAUCUCUUAAAUUAAAAAUCUCAAACAUACAUGGAAGAUAAGAUCAAUUAAGCACAUGUUGGAUGAAUUUUGUUCGAAUAAAAAUUAAAACAACUUAUUGUUAUCAACUUAUAAGUUAUAUAUAUGAUGAUGGUGGUGCAGAGGUGAAAACUUAGUUUGAGAUCUCUCCCUACAUCUACUAUGCUUUUACGUUCUAAUGUAUUUUGUGGUAAAAAAAUCAAUUAUAAACUUUUAAGAAAAAUUUUCAUAUGUUAUUAUUUUUUCUCUAAAUUCUAAACUAGCCAGGUUAUCAACAAAACAAAUACCACUAGAGUUUAAGGGAUUAGGAAGCAUAUAUGAAUAUCUCAACUUGGUUAACACGUCGUUUUUAAACAUUUCUCAUCAGGUUGCUGUUUCAAAAGUGAUGCACUGAUGUGAAGAAACAUAUAGGAGAAAAGUGAGAUGGAAAGUUAGUAUAUUGGACAGAGUACAUAGUACAUAGUAGGUUUAUUAAUUAAUUUAUCCAAAUGAUAAUCUCAUUACCAAGCACUAUGUGAUUUAGAUAUGAAUAAAAUGUGAUCAUUUUUCCACCACUAUUACAUAGCAAAUGGGAAAACAUCUCAUUGUGGUUUGAUAUUUUAAAAAACAAUUAUGGUAAUGCAAGUCGUCUCAUAUCCCAUAAUAUUAUCUCAGUCUCAUGGCGACUGAUACAAAAGGACAAAACUAACUUCAUUAAAAUAUGUUCUCUCCUUCCUACACUUUUUAGGUAUAUAUCAUUCAUAUAUUAAUCACUGCAAUUGGUUAGGUGGACUACAAAAACAUAGAUAUAGUCCGAGAUAAAAUUAAGUACGGUUAUAUUUUACGAGACUUUUGAUGUGUUUGAUUACAUUUUCAUGUGUUUCUUUUAGAAAAUAAGUUAUUUUGAAAAAACUAAAGUAUUUUAAACAAUUUUUAGAACAAUCAAUUUCUUGAAAAAUAUUUUUUUCUUAAUUCAAUCUAAGAUGGAUCCUCAAAAUAUUUGAGGGUAGUUCUUUUAUAAAAGUAUUUACACUAGGUUGGUUUAUGAAGUAAAAUAUUGAUCGGUAAAUUCAAGUUUUAAAUUAGAAAAAUUGAAUAUUUUUAAAAAUAGAAGAAUUGGCUAACUAUUUACAACUCAUACCAAAAUUUUAAUACAAAUCCAAAGUAUCUAUUUUUUAUUUUAUUAUUAUUAUUAUUUUUUGCUAUAGGAUGUAAAUACUAUCUGUUUUCUUGUAAAUUUCUCUUACAAUCCUCUACGAGAAAGUCUUAAUUUUUAUAUUUAUGAUUUAUAUUAUAAUAUAAUUAUUUGGAACCAUAUAAUAAAUAAAAGGAAAAUUGUAAAACAUAACAUUUGACAAAAUAUCUUCGUAGAAAAAUUUGUUGUGUAAUCAAUUUUGAGGUUUUGUUAUAUGGAGCGUAAAUAUUUUGUCAAAUUUUCUAUUUGUGAAAAAAAAAACUUAUAGGUAAUUUGAAAGGUAAGUGAUCUUGUUUAAGAUCCAAAUUUCUUUUAUGAAAGUUUAAUUUAGAAUACAUACGAGAAAAAUAGAUUAAUCUAGAAUGAUAAAUGUAAGAUAGGUUUGGGAAGUACCAAUAAAUUUUAGGCAUGUGAUAGACUAUAACUGUGAAGAUAUAUAGUCUAUUGCUAUCUUGAAUGGCUCAUUCUUGUUUGAAAAUGACCUUAUUUAAAACACAACUUUUUUAUAAAAGAAAAUCCCUUGCAUCAUUCAAACAAUCUUACAAGAUCGUAUUAGUGGAAGAUGAGAUAGAAUUCUGACAUGUGUAUUAUUAGUAUACUUGAAUAGUUUCUUAUCUAACUUUUGAGCAAGUAGUGGAGAAGCUGAUCAUGAACCCUAAACCCACCGUAUCAUUCACUAUAUAAAGGAGAUCACUACAUGCAUUCUAAGGCAUCCCUUCUCCAAAUGGCUAUCUUUAGAACUUUCUCUUUCGGUUUUCUUUUGUUGGUGAGUUUAGGCUUAGCUUCUGCGACCAGAAGUCUUCUCACCUAUGAUCCACCACAUCACUCUGUAUAUGAUGAUCAUAACACUAAAGUAGGUUACGGACGUGACCAUCAUGAUCAACCUUAUGGUGGUGGUGUUGGUGCUAGUGGAGGAUAUGGAGCCGGAGCUGGCUCUGGAUAUGGAGGUGUAGGAUACGAACAUGACCAUCAUGAUGGAUACGAACGUGAUCAUGAUCGAUCUUAUGGUGGUAGUGCUGGUGGAGGAUAUGGAGUUGGAGCUGGCUCCUCUCUUGGAGGCUCUGGAUAUGGAAACGUAGAUCAUGGGGUUGGUUAUAGCAAUGGUGGAAGUGGUGGAUAUGGAGCUGGUGUUGGCUCUGACCUUGGUGGUAGCGGAUAUGGAAGCGGUAAUGGCGGAGCAAGUGGAAGUGGAAAUGGUGAUUUAGGAGGACGUGGAAAAGGCUACGGUCGCGGUGGUGUUGGAGGAAAUGGAUAUGGAGGUAGAGGAGACCAUGGCCGAGUAGUAGGCCAUGAUGAUGUAGUUUAUGGUGGUUCCAAAGGAUAUGGAGGUGGAAGUGGCGUCGGUGGGGGAGCUGGUUAUAGCGGUGGAGCAAGUGGAAGUGGAUAUGGAAGUGGUGGUGGAGCUGGAAGUGGAAGUGGCUAUGGCGGAAGUGGUGAAGAAGGAGGAUAUGAUGGUGGAUAUGCACCUUAAAUAAAAGGGGCUAAAACAUCAUCUAAAAGCUUAUCGUUAAAACGAUAAUACUUACCUAAAUAUCAAUGUUUGUUAGCAAAAAUAAAGAAUUUAGGUAAGAAUGUUAUGUUCCUCUUUUGAAUUUUAGUAACUUCAAUGAAUGUGAUAUUAUAAAAACUAGCUGUUUCAUGGGGUUCUAAAGACCAACAAACAUGCAUGAAAUACUGAGUUAAUACAACGUACGCCAUUCCAAACGUGCUAUUUUAUGGAUUCCAAAGUUGACUUUGAACUAAGGACUAAAUAAUCCUUUAACACCUUCUAAACACAAAUUAUUUCACAGACGUCAAGAUCAGUUAAUCAAGUUAAAACUUAAUAGGUCAAAUUCAUCAUUCCAAAAUGACUUGUAGAAAAAUUUUGAGACUUAGUUCGAGUAUGUUAAAUUCUAAUGUUACGAAGUUUUCUUAACAAAAUUGAGAAGGAGGUUGGGAUGGUGGAUAUGCACUCAAAAAUUUCAUCUCAAAAGAGAAUUGAGAAACAUACUUUUCAAGUAACAAACCCAAUAUUCAUAUUAAUUGGGCAACAAAAGUAAGGAAAUAGGGGUAAAAAGAGAACAUUGUUUUCUAAAUAAUCUAUGUCGAGGUUUGCUUCUUGGCCAUGAAAUUCGAACCAAUUAUUCAAUGAUAAGCAAAUUUGGAUUAAGUAUGCAUGUGUAAUGUGACAAAAUUAUUCAACCACAUUCACGUUAUUUUGCUUUCCUAAUCAUAUUUAUGAAAUAAGAUGGUUUCAUCUUUCAAAAUCAAUACACAAUUACAAAAGUAGUAAUACUUCUAUCUUAUAAACAAUGUUGAUCUCUUGAAUUUUCCAUGUAUGGAAUUAUCAACAUUCUCCGCAUAUUGUUCUAGGUUAUUUUUUUAACCAGUGUAAUCAACCUCAAACAAAAACAAAAGUGACAAAACCAAGAAAAUAACAAAAUUUUCACUUAAAUAAAAGAGGGAAAAAAAAUAGCACAUCCUAUAAGCCAAAAUAAGGGCGAGGGGUUUAGGGUUUAGGGUUAUUAGACCAAGACUACCAAAAUGUCUAAUGACUUUUAUAACGAAACAUCUAGUUUAGAUUGAUACAUAUGAUAUGUAGCAUCUUCACAGCAUCCAAGAUCAAGAGUCGAUAUAUUAUCAUGAAAAGAAAGUACAAAAGGGAAGUUAGGGAAAAACUUGGAGUCAACGUUAAGAGAACCAUUAAAAGUUUUAGAAGUUCAAUUAAUAUUUGUAAAAUUUUAAGAGCUAAAUUUUUAUAAUCCAACGUUUGAGGUCUAGUAAUUGCAAUUGACCAUCAUACUUCAGGGAUAAUUUUUGAAAAUUUCCUUUUCUAUUAUUAAAUUAUCAAGAAAAAAAAGUUUAAUGACGGUCAAAAUAAUCCCUGGCGUCCAUAUAAUAAUUUUCAAUAACAUUUCACGACACUAAAAAAAAUUGGAACUUUGCUCACAUUUUUCUAAGAAACGUAAAUAUUUUGUCAACUUUACUAUAUAUAUAUUAUUGUUACUCUUUUAAAAACUUAAGUAAUUUUGAUUCGACCAAUUUUUUUUGCUAUCAACUACAAUUGUUAAAAAAUAUAUAUAUACGAAAAAAAAUGGUUAAUUUUCAUUCACAAAAUAUUUAAAAAAGUAAAAUUUUAAAUUUGUCUCGUAUCUUUUGGAAUAAGGUUUGUCUUUAAUUAAGGAAAUUUAAAAGUUGCUAAAACAUAGCUAAAUUAAACAAAAGUUACUUUUUUAAAGAAAAUUUUUUAAAUAACAAAAUUAUUAAAAAUAUAAUUAAAUUAGAAUUUUUGAAUCUAUUAUUGAUAUAAUUAAGAAAAGUCUAUCAACAUAUAUCAAUUCUAAUAUUUUAUUAUAUUUUAAUUCAUUUGGUUAUAUUUAACAACUCAUUCCCACACAAACUAUAAUUCAAAUUAAAAACAUAUUUGAACAAAUAUUUUGUAUAAUUUAAGUGAUGAAUCGCACUAAUAUUGUUAAAAUGUGUUUAAAAUGUGAUACUUUUCCCACCAUAUUUUAUAGCAAAUGGCAGAUAAUUUAAUGUUUCUUUGAAGCAAGAAUUAGGCAAAGAAGCAUAUAUAUAUAUAUAUAUAUAUAUAUAUAUAUAUAUAUAAUAUAUAUAUAAUAUGUAAUUAAAUUUUAUAUUAUAGUUAUGCAAAAUCGUUUCAUAAGCCACUUCAUCUCUCUCUAUUUCAUGGCAUCAAGUAAACAAAAAGGGAAAAAGGGAAAAAGAGACCUAAUAAAAUAUGUGUUCUUUAAUUGGUGGAUUUUUAAUUAGCAUUAUUAAUUAAUCAAUCAUGUAAAUAUCCUACAAAGAAUAUUUGUUCUUAAGAUAAUUCAUUGCAUGAUGAAUCAAAAUUUUAGGUUGGGUGUUCCUGUAUACUUAAAAACAUUAUUGCAUUACCAAAUUAAAUUUAUACAAACCAAACGAUAUCAUUUUGUUCGUAUUAAGUUCGUUUAAGUUUAGAUGGUAUAUGAAAGUUGGUUUGUUAUGUUUAGGUUUAUUAAACAACAUUGUAUUUAGACGAUAGUGUAAACUUUAAGUUGUUAAACAUGUGUUUUAUCUUAGUCUAAUGUCGUCUAAUACAAAUAUAUUAUGAUACUUUUUAAUAUUUAAAAAUAUUUUUAGAAGUUUUAUAAAUUAAAAUAAUUUUUCUAAAAAUUAAGUUUCAUCAUUUUUAAGAGGAGAAAAGACACCCUAAACAUAAAUUAAAGAAAAUAGAAUGAUAUUGUAUUAAUUACAUAAAUUUAAUCAAAAAUUAAGAACUAAAAAUAAAAUUGUUAUCAAAAUGAAAAUUCAUUUUAACAUUCAAACCAUCCAAAAAAAAGAACAUCUAAUUACUCUAUUGUAACAGAAGUUUUAUCCUCUUAAGAAAAAAAUAGUUUAAUGUUAAAAGAGUAUACAAAACGUGUUAAUAAGUACACAACUCAAUUAGCAUAAAGCUUAAAUUUUAUUUAGAUCAAGACUCAAAUCUAUGAGAUCACAGGAUAUUGCAAAUUUAGGAUUUUAGGUUAUCGUUUAAAGUUCUAAAAUAUUGCAAAAUGGUGCAAGUGGGAAGAUGGGAUCCAAAUCAAGUAUGGAUAUGAUUUAGUUCCAAUUAUAAUUUAAGGUUAUAGUUUAAUGAUUUAGUUACAACACUUUAGUGUUUUGCCUCUUGAACUUCCCUUAAGCUAUAAUCCAUAAUUAAUAAUGUUUUUGAGCACGUGCCUUCUCUUUAAUUGCCACUAAGGUACCACACUAUAGAGAAGAGCUAAUGAAUCCUUGUUUUCUAUAUAAGGAGAUGGAUCAAUGCAUUCUAAGCAUAUACUCCUAUCCAUGGCUAUUUCUAGAGUGUUGUGCAUUGGCUUUCUUCUUUUUGUGGGGUUAGGGUUAGCUUCGGCUGCCCGAACUCUUCUUGAUUAUGAUCCACGUGCACGUCGUUAUGAUUACGAUCGUCCUACUCCAAGAGUAGGAUACGAUCCAAGCCAUCGUGAUCAAUCCUAUGAUAAUGUAUAUGGUGGAAGCUCUAGCAGAGGAUAUGGAGCUGGAGACUCUGCUCUUGGAGGUUCGGGACGAUAUGAAGGUGGUGGAGGACGUGAUUACGGACAUGGAGGCCGAAAUGAUGAUCGUGGUGUUGGAUAUGGAGGUCGAAAUGAUGAUCGUGGUGCUGAAUAUGGAGGUAGAAAUGAUGAUCAUGGUGCUGGAUAUGGAAGUCGAAAUGAUGAUCGUGGUGUUGGAUAUGGAAGUCGAAAUGAUGAUCGUGGUGUUGGAUAUGGAAGUCGAAAUGAUGAUCGUAGUGUUGGAUAUGGAGGCCGAAAUGAUGAUCGUGGAGUUGGAUAUGGUAAUGGUGGUGGAUAUGGAGGUGUAGGAGGACAUGGUGAUGGUUAUGGUAACAAUGGUGGUGGAAGCUAUGGAGAUCGUUAUGGCCCUUCUCUUGGAGGUUCAGGAUAUGGAAGUGGAGGAAAAGGAAGUGGCAAUGGCUAUGACGAUCAUUCUCGUGGAAAUGGUGCGCGUGACAAUAGCUAUGGAGAUUCUCAUGGACAUGAAGGACGUGACAGUGGAUAUGGAAGUGGUGGAGGAGUUAGUGGAGGCUAUGGCAAUGGAGGAGUUCAUGGAGGGGAGCAUGAUAAUAGCAAAGGAAGUGGAGAAGAAGGGGGUAGGGACGGUGGAUAUGCUUUCAAAAAUUCCAUCUCAAAGGAGAAUUGAGAACUCUUUUUCAAGUAAUGAACCCAAUAUCAUAUUAUGUUAACAAAAAAAAUAAAGAAUUGGGUAUAAGAGAAUGUUGUUUUCUAAAUUUAUGUUGAAUUUGUUACCAACGAAUGUCAAAUUCGAAUCAAUGGGUACAAUGAUAAUCAAAUUUAGGUUAUGUUUAUUGUGAUAAAUUUAUUGCACUCUUAUUUGUUUUGUUUCUCUAUAUAUAUUUUUUCUAUAUAUCCAUAUUAAUAUGGGUGGUUUUGGACCGAAGAAAAAAACAUCAUCUAAAAGUUUUUCGUUAAAAUCAUAUAAUUCUUACCUAAUAUCAAUGUUUGUUAGCAAAAAGUAAAAGAAUUUAGGUAAGAAUGUUAUGUUUCUCUUUGAAUUUUAGUAACUUUUUCAAUGAAGUUGUGAUAUUAUAAAAUCUAGUCAUUUCAUGAAGUUCUAAAGGCAAACAAGCAUGCACCAAAUACUCUAGCUAAUACAACGUACGCCAUUCCAAACGUGCUAUUUUAUGGAUUUCAAAGUUAAACUUUGAAACAAUCUUUUAAUACGUUCUAAACACAAAUUAUUUAACAUAAAUCAUGGGCUAAUCAAGUCCAAACUUAAUAGAUCAAACUCAUCAUUCCAAAUGUCUCCUACAUAACUUGUAGAAAAUUUUAAGAUUUAGUUCGAAUAUAUUAAAUUCGAUGUUCCAAGUUGUUUUAACAAAAUUGAAAAACUUCACCAUUAUUUUGAGAUUUUUUUUUAUGAUUACAUCCUUUAAUUUAUUGAAUAAUUAUAAACAAUCUUGGUUUCAAGAGAAUUAUAUUUACGCAACGAUCAUUUGCAGAUGUUCAAAAUAUUUCUACCCUCAAUUAUACUUACAGAAAAACAUUUGUUGCACUUAUCUCUUCCAAACCAUAAUAGUUUUUAGGAAAAGAAAAAAGAGACAUGUUUAUGAAAGAAAAUUAGGCUACGAUGCUCAUUGUCGUGGAUAUGGAGCGCGUGACAACGGGUAUGGGAGGUGGAGGAGUUAGGGGUGGCUAUGGUGGUGGUAGCAAAUUGAAGAGAUGGUUAUGGUAAAUAGAGAGGUGUUCAUGGAGGAGAAUAUGAUAAUGGCAAAGGAAAUGGAGAAGAAGGAGGUUGUGAGGGUGGAUAUGCACUCAAAAUUAAUUCCAUCUGAUCAAAAGAGAAUUGAGAAACUUUUUUUUUUUUUUUGUAAGUAAUGAACCCAAUAUUCAUAUUAAUUGCACAACAAAAAAUAAAGAAAUUGGGUAAGAGAGAACGUUGUUUUCUAAAUCUUAUGGGUGGAAGGUUUGCAUGUUCGUGAAUGUAAAUAUCAAAUCAAUUUUUUAAUGAUAAGCAAAUUUGGAGUAAGUGUGCAUUUAUACUGUGACAAAUUGAAUCAACCACAUAUACGUUAUUUUGUUUUUCCAAUGAUAUUUAUUAUAUAAGAGGAUUUUAUCUCAAAAUCAAUCAACAAAUACGUGAAUAGUAAUACGUCAAUUUUAUAAACAAUAAUGAUGAUCUCUUGAAUUUUUCAUGUGAAAUUAUCAACAUUCUCCAUGUAUUGUUCUCGGUUAUUAUUUUUGUAACCAAAGUGUAAUCCUCCAAAAAAAUACAAAAUUGACAACCAAGAAAAUAACUAAAUUUUCAUUUAAAAAGAAAAAAGAGAAUAGCAUAUCAAAUAUCAAAUAGCCAUGCAAAAUAAGCUUAACUAGGGGAGAGGGAGUCUAUAAGUCAAAUUGCAUAGUCUAAACCAAGGCUAACAAAUGAAUGAUGAUCCUACGAUAAAAUAUCUUAAGUAGAUUGAUACAUAUGAUAUGUAGCAUCUUCACCGCAUCUAAGAACAAGAGUCGAUGUGUUAUCACAAAAAUAAAAUACAAAAGGGAAGUUUGGGAGAAAAUUAGAGUUAUAAUAAUGUUGAGAGAGAUCCAAUUAAUUAAUACUCUUAAAAUUUUAAGAGAUAAAUUUUUAUAUUUGAGAAUUUAAAUGUGUAAUUGCGACUAAUUAACCAAUCGUGUUGAUUUUUGCAAUUUACCUUUUUUUAUUAAAUUUUCAAGAAAAAAAUAUUUAAUGACGAUCAAAAUGAUCCAUGACGUACAUACAAUUAUUGUCAAACAUUCCAUGUUACUAAAAGAAAAUUGAAACUUUCUCCAACGUUAUAAAUAUUUUAUCCACUUUACUAUUUUUUUUAUUAUUUCCCUAAUUUUGAUUCAAUCAAUUUUCUAGCUAUCAACUACCAUUCUUUAAAAAAAAAUCAAAUAUACAAAAAUAAAAAAUUGUCAAUUUUCGUCCAAAAAAAUUUUAAAAUAAAAUUUGGAAUUUGGAAUAUGGUACCUUUUGGAAUAAGUUUUAAAGCCUUUGAUUAAAAAAAAAAAGUUGCUUCAACCAAAAUCAUUGUAAAUAAUGUUGAAAUUAUAAAAUUAUUAAAAAUAUUUAUAAAUAUAGACAAACUAAAAUUUUAGAAUCUACCGUUGAUGUAACUAAUAAACGUAUAUCAGCGUCUACCGAAUAUAUUCUAAAAAACGGUAAUAUUUUAUAAAUAUUUUAGUAUGUUUACCCUUUCACAAACUUAAUUAAAAUUAUAAUCCAAAUCAAAACCUAUCCAAACAAAUAUUUGGUGUAACUUAAGGGAUGAAUCGCACUAAUAUGACUCAAACAUAUUUUGAGAAACGUGUUUAAAAUGUGAUAAAUUUUUCCACAAUAUUUUAUAGCAAAUGGCAAAUAAUUUAAAGUUUCUUUGAAGCAAGAAUUAGGCAAAGAAGCAUGUAUAUAUAUACAUAUAAUGUAAUUAAAAUUUAUAUUAUAGUGAUGCAAAAUCGUUUCAUAAGCCACUUCAUCUCUCUCUGUUUCAUGGCAUCUUAAGUACACAAAAAGAGAAAAAGGGAAAAAGAGACCUAAUAUAAUAUGUGUUCUUUAAUUGGUGGAUUUUUAUUUAGCAUUAUUAAUUCAUCAAUCACCAAGAAUAUUUAUUCUCAACAAAGUUAUUGAAUGAUAUUAAAUUUACAAGAACUAAAUGAUAUAUCAUUUCGUUUCAUAUUAAAUUUUUGUAAGUUUAGAUAAUUUAUGAAAGUAGGUUUGUUAUGUUUAGGUUAACUAAACACAUACAUGUUAAAUUGAAUAUGUGUUUUAUCUUGGUCAAUUGUGCAAAGUGGAUCCGUGGCGCAAUGGUAGCGCGUCUGACUCCAGAUCAGAAGGUUGCGUGUUCGAUUCACGUCGGGUUCAAUGUCCAUUUUUUAUUUUAGUCAUUUGUGAUCACAAAUAAAUUUAAACCUCAUAAUCAUUGCAUUUUAGGUUAUUGUGUAAAGUUAUAAAACAUUACAAAGUGGAACAAGUAUUGAUAUGAUUUCGUUCCAAUUAUAAUUUAUUUUUAUAGUUUAAUGAGACAUACGAAAAAGCCAACACUUUAGUAUUUUGCCUCUUGAACUUUACUUAAGUUAUAUAUAAAAAAUUAAUAAUGUUGUUGACCACAUGCCUCCUCUUUAAUUGCCACUAAGGUACUACACUAUAGAGAAGAGCUAAUGAGUCCUUGUUUUCUAUAUAAGGAGAUGGAUGAAUGCAUUCUAAGCAUACAUUCCUAUCCAUGGCUAUCUCUAGAGUGUUGUGCAUUGGCUUUCUUCUUUUUGUAGGUUUAGGGUUAGCUUCGGCUACCCGAACUCUUCUUGAUUAUGAUCCACGUGCACGUCGUUAUGAUUACGAUCAUCCUACUCCAAGAGUAGGGUACGAUCCAAGUCAUCGUGAUCAAUCAUAUGAUAAUGCAUACAGUGGAAGUUCUAGUAAAGGAUAUGGAAUUGGAGACUCUACUCUUGGAGGUUCUGGACGAUAUGGAGGUGGCAAAGGACAUGAUUCCGGAUAUGGAGGUCGAAAUGAUGAUCGCAGUACUGGAUAUGGAGGUCGAAAUGAUGACCGCAGUGAUGGAUAUGGAGGUCGAAAUGAUGACCGCGGUGCUGGAUACGGAGGUCGAAAUGAUGAUCGCGGUGUUGGAUAUGGAGGUCGAAAUGAUGAUCGCGGUGUUGGAUAUGGAGGUCGAAAUGAUGAUCGUGGAGUUGGAUAUGGUAAUGGUGGUAGAUAUGGAAGUGUAGGAGGACAUGGUGAUGGUUAUGGUAACAAUGGUGGUGGAAGCUAUGGAGAUCGUUAUGGCCCUUCUCUUGGAGGUUCAGGAAAAGGAAGUAACAAUGGCUAUAACGAUCAUUCUCGUGGAAAUGGAGGACGUGACAGUGGCUAUGGAGAUUCACAUGGACAUGAAGGACGUGAGAGUGGAAAUGGAAGCGGUGGAGGAGUUAGUGGUGGCUAUGGUAAUGGAGGAGUACAUGGAGGAGAGUAUGAUAAUAGCAAAGGAAGUGGAGAAGAAGGGGGUAAUGAUGGUGGAUAUGCUGUCAAAAAUUCUAUCUCAAAGGAGAAUUGAGAAUUCCUCUUUUUCAAGUAAUGAACCCAAUAUCAUAUUAUGUUAACGAGAAAUAAAGAAAUUGGGUGAGAGAAUGUUGUGUUUUAAAUUUAUGUUGAAUUUUCUUUGAAUAAUUCGAAUCAAUAGGUACAAUGAUAAUCAAAUUUGGAUUAUGUUUGUUGUGACAAAUUGACUGUACCCUAUUUUGUUAUAUUUCUCUAUAGAUUUUUUUAUAUAUAUCCAUAUUAAUACGGGUGAUUUUGAACUGAAUCAAAUGACAUAAACAAAGAGAAAAAAAUAUUGUCUAAAAGUUUAUUUGUUAACACCUUAUAAUUCUUAGUAACUUUUUCAAUGAAUGUGUGAUAUUAUAAAAAUAAGUUGUUUCAUGGGAUUCCAAGGAUGGACAAAAGAUGCAUAAAAUACUCUAACUAAUAAAAUGUACACCAUUCCAAACGUGCUAUAUUUUAUGAUUUUCAAAGUUAAACUUUGAAACAAUCUUUUAACACCUUCUAAACACAAAUUAUUUAUCAUACAUGGUGGGCUAAUCAAGUCCAAACUAAUUAAUAGGUCAAACCCAUCAUUCCAAUUGUCUGCUACACGUAACUUAUAAAAAUUUUCAAGAUUUAGUUUGAAUAUUUUAAAUUCAAUGUUUCAAGUUUUUUUAACAAAAUUGAAAAAACUUCACCAUUUUCUUGAGAUUUUCUUAUUAUGAUUACAUCCUUUAAUUUGUUGAAUAAUUAUGUACGAUCUUGUUGCAAGAGAAUAAUAUAUAUAUAUUAUUAUAUUAUAUAUAUACAUACAUUCAUUCAUUUAGGUUUAUGUGGUUCAAAAUCUUUCUACCCUCAAUUAUACUUAAAAAGCAUUGGUUGCACUCUUCUCUUCCAAACCAUGAUAGUUUUUAGGAAAAAAAAGAAACAUGUUGAUGAAAGAGAAUUAGACUACGAUGAUCAUUCUCGUGGAUAUGAAGCGCGUGACAACGGAUAUGGGAGUGGUGGAGGAGUUGGUGGUGGCAGCGAAAAAGGUGGUUAUGGUAAUAGAGAGGUGUUCAUAAAGGAGAAUAUGAUAAUCGGAAAGGAAAUGGGGAAGAAGGAGGUUCUAAUGGUAGAUAUGCACUCAAAAUUAAUUUCAUCUAAUCAAAAGAGAAUUGGAAACUUUUUUUUAAGCAAUGAACCCAAUAUUCAUAUUAAUUGGGCAACAAAAAUAAAGAAAUUGGGUAAGAGACAACGUUGUUUUAUAAAUCUUAUAUGUCAUUAGUUUACUUUUUGGUGAAAGUAAAUAAUUUGGAUUAAGUAUGCAUUUGUAUUAGAACAAAUUGAAUCCAACCAUAUACACAUUAUUUUACUUUUUUAAUAAUAUUUUUUAUUAAAUUAGAUGGUUUUAUUUUAAAAUUAAUUGAUAAUUACGUGAAUAGUAAUAUGUAUAUCUUAUAAACAAUAAUGUUGAUCUCUUCAAUUUUUUAUAUGCAGAAUUAUCAACAUUCUCCACCUAAUGUUCUAGGUUAUUUUUGUAAUCAAAGUGUAACUCUCAGACAAAAACAAAAACGAAAAAACCAAGAAAAUAACUAAAUUUUCAUUUAAAAAGAGAAAAAAGAAUAGCAUAUCAAACAUCCAUCCAAAAUAAGCAUAAUUAAGGGAGAGGGGGCCUAUACGUCAAUUGCUUAGUCUAAACCAAGACUAACAAAUGCCUUGUCCUAUGAUAAAAUAUUUAUAUUUCAAAGAUACAUAUAUUUUCACUACAUCCAAGAUCAAGAGCCAUUGUAUUAUAACAAAAGAUUGUACAAAAGGGGAGUUGGGGAGAAACUUAGAGUCAUAAUGUUCAAAGAGAUCUAAUUAAUACUUGUAAAAUUUUAAGAGCUAAAAUUUUGUAACAGAGAUUGAGAGUGUAAUCGCAACAAAUAAUCAUACUUCAAUGGUUGAUUAAUUUAUCAAGAAAAGUUUUAAAAAAACAUUUAAUGACAGUCAACAUCAACCCUUUCACGUCAUUAAAAGAAAAUUGGAACUUUGCCCACAUUUCUUUAUUAUUUUGCUAUUAAAAAUUAAUUUUGAUUCAAUCAAUUUUUUAGUUAUCAACUACUAUUCUUAAAAAAAUAUAUAUAUAUACAAAAAUUACGAAAAAGAAAUAUUACUUCUCAAACAAGAAUCAUCUUAAAUAAUCAUCCUAUCCAUUUUAAAAAAUAUAUAUAUUUUCAAUAAAUUAAAUAAUAAAAUUAUUGAAAAUAUUUAUAAAUAUAACUAAAAUAAAACUCUAAAAUCGAUGGAGGAUGUAACUUAUGAAAGUCUAUUAGCAUCUAUCAUUAACAUAUUCUAAAAUAUUUUUGUAAAUAUAUUUUGUUUCAUUUUGCUAUACUUAAAAAUAACCUUCCACAAAUUUAAAACUCAAAUUAAUCAAAACCAAUCCCAACAAAUAUUUUGUAUAAUUUAUGCGAUGUGCAUAAAUACGCAUUUUCCCACCAUAUUUGAUAGCAAAUGGCAAAUUAUUUAAUGUUUGUUUGAAGCAAGAAUUAGGCAAAGAAGCAUAUAUCUAUAUAAUAUGUAACUAGAUCUUAUAUUAUAGUGAUGCAAAAUCGUUUCAUAAGGCACUUCAUAUCUCUCUGUCUCAUGGCAUCUUAAGUACACAAAAUGAGAAAAAGGGAAAAAGGGCCCUAAUAUAAUAUGUGUCCUUUAAUUGGUGGAAUUUUAUUUAGCAUUAUUAAUUAAUCAACCGUGUAAAAUAUGGUAGGAAGAAUUAUUCUAAUGAUGAAUGAAAAUUUUAGGUUGGGAGGUCCCAUAUAUGAAGCAUAUGAGAAAUUUUCAAUCUUAAAAGAGUGAAUUAUCAAAUUAAAUUUACAUGAACGAAAUGAUAUAUCAUUUGGUUUGUAUUAAGUUUGUUUAAGUUUAGAUGAUUUACGAAAAUAGGUUUGUUAUGUUUAGGUUGACAAAACGACACUGUAUUUAGAUGAUGGUGUAAAUUUUAACAUGUUAAACAUGUGUUUUAUCUUGGUUUAUUGUGAUCUAAUACAAAUAAAUAUCGUUAUUGAAUUUUAGGUUAUCGUGUAAAGUUGUAAAAUAUUACAAAGUGGUGCAAGUGGGAAAAUGGGAUCAAAAGGAGAGUAUUGAUAUGAUUUCGUUCCAAUUAUAACUUAUUUUUUUAGUUUAAUGAGACAUAGGAAAAAGCCUACACUUUAGUGUUUUGCCUCUUGAACUUCCUUUGAGCUAUAUAUCCAAAAUUAAUAAUGAUUUUUUAGCACGUGUCUCCUCUUUAAUGGCCUCUAAGGUACCACACUAUAGAGAAGAGCUAAUGAAUCCUUGUUUUCUAUAUAAGGAGAUGGAUCCAUGCAUUCUAAGCAUACAUUCCUAUCCAUGGCUAUUCCUAAAGUGUUGUGCAUUGGCUUUCUUCUUUUUGUGGGUUUAGGGUUAGCUUCGGCUGCCCGAACUCUUCUUGAUUAUGAUCCACGUACACGUCGCUAUGAUUACGAUCAUCCUACUCCAAGAGUAGGGUACGACCCAAGUCAUCGUGAUCAAUCCUAUGAUAGUGCAUACAGUGGAAGUUCUAGUAAAGGAUAUGGAGUUGGAGACUCUGCUCUUGGAGGUUCUGGACGAUAUGAAGGUGGUGGAGGACGUGAUUCCGGAUAUGGAGGUCGAAAUGAUGAUCAUGGUGUGGGAUAUGAAGGUCGAAAUGAUGGUCGUGGUGCUGGAUACGGAAGUCGAAAUGAUGAUCGCAGUGCUGGAUAUGGAGGUCGAAAUGAUGAUCGUGGUGCUGGAUAUGGAGGUCGAAAUGAUGAUCGUGGUGCUGGAUAUGGAGGUCGAAAUGAUGAUCACGGUGCUGGAUAUGGAAGUCGAAAUGAUGAUCAUGGUGCUGGAUAUGGAGGUCGAAAUGAUGAUCGUGGGGUUGGAUAUGGUAAUGGUGGUGGAUAUGGAAGUGUAGGAGGACAUGGUGAUGGUUAUGGUAACAAUGGUGGUGGAAGCUAUGGAGAUCGUUAUGGCCCUUCUCUUGGAGGUUCGGGAUAUGGAAGUGGAGGAAAAGGAAGUGGCAAUGGCUAUGAUGAUCAUUCUCGUGGAAAUGGAGCACGUGACAAUAACUAUGGAGAUUCUCACGGACAUGAAGGACGUGACAGUGGAUAUGGAAGUGGUGGAGGAGUUAGCGGAGGCUAUGGCAAUGGAGGAGUUCAUGGAGGGGAGCAUGAUAAUAGCAAAGGAAGUGGAGAAGAAGGGGGUAGUGAUGGUGGAUAUGCUUUCAAAAAUUCCAUCUCAAACAAGAAUUGAGAACUCUCUUUUAAGCAAUGAACCCAAUAUCAUAUUAUGUUAAAGAAAAAUAAGGAAAUUGGGUAAGAAUGAAUAAUGUUGUGUUCUAAAUGUAUGUUGAAUUUACUUCAAAUGAAUGCUAAAUUUGAAUCAAUGAAUUAUGUUUGGAUUAUGUUUGUUGUUACAAAUUGAUUCCACCUUUCUUUU